Molecule: long non-coding RNA, 763 nt
Filed under: Cyanistes caeruleus (blue tit)
Lineage: Eukaryota; Metazoa; Chordata; Aves; Passeriformes; Paridae
Description: lncRNA (ENSCCEG00000001942.1)
Source: RNAcentral
AUGGCAGGCAGAUUCCUCAGGCUGUUCAAUGUGUUCAGGGGGAACAGAAACACAGACCCUGGAGCUGCACAACCUCCUGAAGAGCAGGAGCAGUUCCAGCCACUGCAGGAUGAUGCAGCCAUGGACCAGACACAAGAGCAGGAGCCUGCCCGUGGCCGCUUCCACAGAGCAGCGCAGAGGUUCCGCAAAUUCCUGCGCAUUCGGCACAGAAGGAACACCACAGCAGCAACUGAGGACACAGCUGAGCCUGACUGCAGGCUGACCGAGCUCCAGGCAGAGCCUGAUGUCAGCCCGGAUUCAGCUGAGCACUCACAAGAGUCUGAUGCUGCAGUGAAUGAUGAGAGGGAAAACUCUGACAAGGCAGUGACUGAGGAUGUGGCUAUUCCAAAUGAUGAUGCUGGAGAGACUCAGGGCAUUGCAGAUGCUGGCAUCACACCCACUCCUGCUCUGAGUCAGGAGCUCAUAAGGGACAAUUUCAAGGACAACUGUUUUUCUUCUGAGCAGCAGGUGCCAGCUACUGUGAGGAACAUUUACCAGAGUCUGGUGUCCUGUGUCACUGUGGAUGUCAGGCAGCAAAUUGACAUUAUAAGGCUGGCUGAAGAACACCCUGCUGAUGUGGUGCUGACCCUCCUGCACUGUGCCCCAUCGUGUGACAGGUAUGGGGCCCACGUGCCUUGAGAGCUCAGGGCUCACCGGCCUUUAGGGCCCAUGGCCCUGCACAGCCUGUCCAGUGGGCUCUGCCCAACAGGCAGAGAGGUCCAGG